This 895-nucleotide ribosomal RNA is filed under the name Biatora efflorescens. RNAcentral describes it as "SSU rRNA". It matches the Rfam family "Bacterial small subunit ribosomal RNA", at positions 370 to 1298 of the family's 1533-position model. Lineage: Eukaryota; Fungi; Ascomycota; Lecanoromycetes; Lecanorales; Ramalinaceae. The record is from RNAcentral.
AAUAGCCUAACGGCUGAACCAGCAACUUGGAGGAAUGAAUAGCAAUUGCUAGUUGCACAGAUAUAUGAUGCAAAAUCGACUCAGUCGAAUAAAAUUCUGGGUAUAAUUAUGAUAAUGACAUUGUUUACCUAUGUGUCUUGACCAAAUUACGUGCCAGCAGUCGCGGUAAUACGUAGAAGACUAGUGUUAUUCAUCUUUAAUAGGUUUAAAGGGUACCUAGACGGUAAAUCAAGCCCUUGCAUAGCAUGACGGGACUAAUUUGCUAGAGUUACUUAUGCGGGGGUUUUAAAGUACUAAUGGUGUAGAGAUAAAAUUUUGUAAUACCAUAUUUCGAAAGAAAUGUUUUGGCACUGGUAAAGGCGAAAGCAUCCCCUUAUGUGAUAACUGACGUUGAAGGACGAAGGCUUUGGAUCGCGAAUAGGAUUAGAUACCCUAGUAGUCGAAGCAGAAAAUGAUGAGUGUCAUAGACUAGAGAUUAAACUUUAUUCUAUAAAUGAAAGUGUAAGCACUCCACCUCAAGAGUAAUUUGGCAACAUUGGAACUGAAAUCAUUAGACCGUUUCUGAAACCAGUAGUGAAGUAUGUUGUUUAAUUUGAUAAUCCGCAAAAAACCUUACCACAGCUUGAAUGUUUAUAUCAUUGAUAUAUUUACAAGCGUUGCACGGCUGUCUUCAGUUAAUGUCGUGAGACUUUGGUUAGAUCCAUUAAAUUAACGCAAGCCCUUACUUUAUUUUUAUAUAAAGUUGUUCCCCACUAUAUUGGAUAUGAUAACAGGGACUAAGACAAGUCAUCAUGGCCUGAAUGCUGUGGGCUAUAGACGUGCCACAUAGACCUUUACAAAAGGAUGUAAAAUUGUGAAAUUAAACUAAUCCCCCAAAACUGGAUAUAACUUUAAU